This 74-nucleotide transfer RNA is filed under the name Sus scrofa (pig). It matches the Rfam family "tRNA". Rfam says of the family: Transfer RNA (tRNA) molecules are approximately 80 nucleotides in length. Their secondary structure includes four short double-helical elements and three loops (D, anti-codon, and T loops). Further hydrogen bonds mediate the characteristic L-shaped molecular structure. tRNAs have two regions of fundamental functional importance: the anti-codon, which is responsible for specific mRNA codon recognition, and the 3' end, to which the tRNAs corresponding amino acid is attached (by aminoacyl-tRNA synthetases). tRNAs cope with the degeneracy of the genetic code in two manners: having more than one tRNA (with a specific anti-codon) for a particular amino acid; and 'wobble' base-pairing, i.e. permitting non-standard base-pairing at the 3rd anti-codon position. The record is from Rfam by way of RNAcentral. Lineage: Eukaryota; Metazoa; Chordata; Mammalia; Artiodactyla; Suidae.
UCCCUGGUGGCCUAGUGGUUAAGGGAUCUGGCAUUGUAACUCCUGUGGCUCAGGUUUAAUCCCUGACCUGGGAA